This is a long non-coding RNA of Cyprinus carpio (common carp), 988 nucleotides long. NCBI's taxonomy places the organism in Eukaryota, Metazoa, Chordata, Actinopteri, Cypriniformes, Cyprinidae. The record is from Ensembl.
GCAGCCAAUCAGCACUUCAGCCAAAACCACACAACUUUCAGCUUUGGCAGUCGUCAUGUUUCCUGUUCUGAAUUGAAGCCCUUCUGCUGUUCGAGUAGUAUCAGAGUUUUAUUUAGUUUUUCGCAGCAUAUCUAGCGUUGGAAUAUCAGAGUCUUUCAGUUCUCAGAAUUGAAGCCAUUUUGCUGUUUAAUGCGAUUCUGUGCCACUUCUGAAGCUCAGACAGCGCAACAUCAGCAGAGAUCUCAGAGUUGUGAUGGAGGUUUCUUCUCUUCAGCUCAACACAAGCUGGGAUGUAGAAAUGAAAUAACGCAUACAGUAAACUCCUGCAACAUCAGAAACCACAGACCAGCAAAAAGCAACAGGACAGAGAGAAAAAUGGAGGCCAGAAAUGAAACACAAACCAGUGAAUCACAAGAGAAAAACAGACACUUGUUAGAUGUGACAGUAUGAAGAAAUUAAAGCCAGACUGUAAAUGUUUCUUCAUUAUAUGACUUUAAUGUCUUUAGUUUUGCUAGAUCAGAUUGACUUCAGACUUUCUGCACUAACUGUUGAAGCUUUUCACAGCUGUGUGAUUGUGUAAUUGACAGGAUGUUUCAAAUUGAGAACUAUAUCCUAUAAAUUAAUAAUAACAAUGUGUAUGUGUUUUUCUAGUAUGAUCUAGAAGGGCCUUUAAACCCUCGUUCUGAUUUCAAUAGUGAGGUGACAUUCUUGUCAAACCCUUCAUCACUGACGUCCAUCGGCAGCCACCGAAGACCUAAACAUCAUCAUCAUCAGACUAUGGUUUGUUCUCCUCUUUUUAUUUUCCAAGAGCGCUUUGCAAAUUAGUUGGCUGGCUACUAGCAAACUUAAAACAACACUUUGCUGGAUCCUUGUGUAUCUAAUCUAAUAUGAUUUAGCAUGAAGUUCUUUCUUCGUGUUUACAACCCGAAUUCCGGAAAUGUUGGGACGUUUUUUAAAUUUAAAUAAAAUGUAAACUAAAAGACUUUCA